AUUGAACGCUGGCGGCAUGCCUUACACAUGCAAGUCGAACGGCAGCACGGGGGCAACCCUGGUGGCGAGUGGCGGACGGGUGAGUAAAGCAUCGGAACGUAUCCUGGAGUGGGGGAUAACGUAGCGAAAGUUACGCUAAUACCGCAUAUUCUGUGAGCAGGAAAGCAGGGGAUCGCAAGACCUUGCGCUCUGGGAGCGGCCGAUGUCGGAUUAGCUAGUUGGUGGGGUAAAGGCCUACCAAGGCGACGAUCCGUAGCGGGUCUGAGAGGAUGAUCCGCCACACUGGGACUGAGACACGGCCCAGACUCCUACGGGAGGCAGCAGUGGGGAAUUUUGGACAAUGGGCGCAAGCCUGAUCCAGCCAUGCCGCGUGAGUGAAGAAGGCCUUCGGGUU
Molecule: ribosomal RNA, 394 nt
Filed under: uncultured bacterium
Lineage: Bacteria
Description: bacterial SSU rRNA
Rfam family: Bacterial small subunit ribosomal RNA
Source: RNAcentral